This 89-nucleotide transfer RNA is filed under the name Schizochytrium sp. TIO1101. RNAcentral describes it as "tRNA-Ser". It matches the Rfam family "tRNA". Rfam says of the family: Transfer RNA (tRNA) molecules are approximately 80 nucleotides in length. Lineage: Eukaryota; Bigyra; Thraustochytrida; Thraustochytriidae. The record is from RNAcentral. RNAcentral also lists the same sequence under 1 other name.
UGGAGAAGUGGCAGAGAGGUCGAUUGCGAACGUUUGCUAAACGUUUACAGGUUAAAACUUGUCGCUGGUUCGAAUCCAGUCUUCUCCGU